GACUGGGAUAACUAUUGGAAACAAUAGCUAAUACCGGAUAUAGUUAUUUAUCGCAUGAUGAGUAAUAGAAAGGAGCUUCACAGCUUCACUUAAAAAUGGGGGUGCGGAACAUUAGUUAGUUGGUAGGGUAAUGGCCUACCAAGACGAUGAUGUUUAGCCGGGCCGAGAGGCUGUACGGCCACACUGGGACUGAGAUACGGCCCAGACUCCUACGGGAGGCAGCAGUAAGGAAUUUUCCACAAUGAGCGAAAGCUUGAUGGAGCGACACAGCGUGCAGGAUGAAGUUCUUCGGAAUGUAAACUGCUGUUAUAAGGGAAGAAAAAAUAGAAUAGGAAAUGAUUUUAUCUUGACGGUACCUUAUUAGAAAGCGACGGCAAACUAUGUGCCAGCAGCCGCGGUAAUACAUAGGUCGCAAGCGUUAUCCGGAAUUAUUGGGCGUAAAGCGUCCGUAGGUUUUUUGCUAAGUCUGGAGUUAAAUGCUGAAGCUCAACUUCAGUCCGCUUUGGAUACUGGCAAAAUAGAAUUAUAAAGAGGUUAGCGGAAUUCCUAGUGAAGCGGUGGAAUGCGUAGAUAUUAGGAAGAACACCAAUAGGCGAAGGCAGCUAACUGGUUAUAUAUUGACACUAAGGGACGAAAGCGUGGGGAGCAAACAGGAUUAGAUACCCUGGUAGUCCACGCCGUAAACGAUGAUCAUUAGUUGGUGGAAUAAUUUCACUAACGCAGCUAC
This 727-nucleotide ribosomal RNA is filed under the name Mesomycoplasma hyorhinis. RNAcentral's name for it is "bacterial SSU rRNA". It matches the Rfam family "Bacterial small subunit ribosomal RNA", at positions 136 to 855 of the family's 1533-position model. Lineage: Bacteria; Bacillati; Mycoplasmatota; Mycoplasmoidales; Metamycoplasmataceae. The record is from RNAcentral.